AAGUCGUAACAAGGUAACCGUAGGUGAACCUGCGGUUGGAUCAUUACUGAUACUUGUCAAGGCUCGAGUCCUUCGGGAUUCGCCAAGACAAUCAACCCCUUGUGCACCAUAUUGUAUUUUGGGCAUGUCCUUGGAUGUGCCCAAUUGUAAGAACCAUAUCCUAUUUGUCUGAUAUCUAUGUAAAAUAGAAACAACUUUUGACAACGGAUCUCUUGGCUCUC
Molecule: unclassified non-coding RNA, 221 nt
Filed under: Chytridiomycota sp.
Lineage: Eukaryota; Fungi; Chytridiomycota
Description: partial contains small subunit ribosomal RNA, internal transcribed spacer 1, and 5.8S ribosomal RNA
Rfam family: Eukaryotic small subunit ribosomal RNA (bases 1-46)
Source: RNAcentral